RNAcentral lists this ribosomal RNA (483 nucleotides) under uncultured bacterium. Its description in RNAcentral is "partial 16S ribosomal RNA". It matches the Rfam family "Bacterial small subunit ribosomal RNA", at positions 28 to 523 of the family's 1533-position model. The record is from RNAcentral.
GAUGAACGCUAGCGGCAGGCUUAAUACAUGCAAGUCGAGGGGGCAGCAAUGUCACCGGCGAACGGGUGCGUAACGCGUAUGCAACCUACCUACAUCAGGGGGAUAGCCCUAGGAAACUGGGAUUAACACCGCAUAAUAUAAGCUACGGCAUCGUAACUUAUUGAAAUAUUUAUAGGAUGUAGAUGGGCAUGCGUAGGAUUAGCUAGUUGGUAAGGUAACGGCUUACCAAGGCUACGAUCCUUAGGGGCUCUGAGAGGAGUAUCCCCCACACUGGCACUGGGAUACGGGCCAGACUCCUACGGGAGGCAGCAGUAGGGAAUACUGGGCAAUGGAGGCAACUCUGACCCAGCCAUGCCGCGUGCAGGAAGACGGUCCUCUGGAUUGUAAACUGCUUUUGAGUGGGAAGAAUGUGCUUCUUGCGAGGAGUAAUGACGGUACCAUUAGAAUAAGCCACGGCUAACUACGUGCCAGCAGCCGCCGCCG